AGCGAACGCUGGCGGCAGGCCUAACACAUGCAAGUCGAACGAACCUUCGGGGUUAGUGGCGGACGGGUGAGUAACACGUGGGAACGCUCCUUUAGGUUCGGAAUAACUCAGGGAAACUUGUGCUAAUACCGAAUGUGCCCUUCGGGGGAAAGAUUAAUCGCCUUUAGAGCGGCCCGCGUCUGAUUAGCUAGUUGGUUGAGGUAAUGGCUCACCAAGGCGACGAUCAGUAGCUGGUCUGAGAGGAUGAUCAGCCACAUUGGGACUGAGACACGGCCCAAACUCCUACGGGAGGCAGCAGUGGGGAAUCUUGCGCAAUGGGCGAAAGCCUGACGCAGCCAUGCCGCGUGAAUGAUGAAGGUCUUAGGAUUGUAAAAUUCUUUCACCGGGGACGAUAAUGACGGUACCCGGAGAAGAAGCCCCGGCUAACUUCGUG
This 433-nucleotide ribosomal RNA is filed under the name uncultured bacterium. RNAcentral's name for it is "partial 16S ribosomal RNA". It matches the Rfam family "Bacterial small subunit ribosomal RNA", at positions 29 to 507 of the family's 1533-position model. The record is from RNAcentral.